Ostrea edulis (European flat oyster) is the source of this 3687-nucleotide long non-coding RNA. RefSeq lists it as uncharacterized. The transcript has 3 exons. Lineage: Eukaryota; Metazoa; Mollusca; Bivalvia; Ostreida; Ostreidae. The record is from RefSeq and is a predicted model, not a curated record.
CUUUUUUUUGGAUGAUUGGACCGUAUCCCCCUUUUCAUCUGUCUCCCUACUUUGAAGUUUUUUUCCCAACGCCAUGACAUAAAUAGAUAAAUAAAUAAAAUGCAAAAAUAAAAACGAAAGAUAUAUAUGUAUUCGGAUUGGCAUGUUCCACUUUGUCCGGGUUGAAAUCCCCGAGGAUGCAAAUGUACAUUACGCCGCACUGUUUGCAGUACGUACAUGGUACAGGUGUACCGCAUAGGUAUGUAGCUACUAAGACUAUAAACCAAACAGAAUAUCAUAUGUAAAACUAUUACUCUGAAUGCAUUUGACUUGUUUACAAUGUAGCCUGUCGGGGUGUGGUGCAUGUCACACGCGUUGUUUACACGUGCACUUUAGGUGGCAGUGGAGGAAAUUCGAACCAUGUAUGGAUUAUUGUCUCCUGAUAACUUUGGCAGUUAACUUUUGAUUUCAAUCUACUUUUUAAGAAUAAUAUAACCCUCGCUAAUCAUUGCCAACCUGCAUUUCGAUCUUGGCAGAAUGAUCUUCAGCUACAAUUCAAAAUUAAGGGUGGUCUUCAACUUUUAAUCUCCAAGAAGGAAAUGUAAUUAAAAGAUGAAUAAAGUAUCCCUAAGAAUACCAGAAGAAAGGCUAUGUGUUGAGAAAAACAGCCCUUCCUCAGUACCUCAGAACUAGAUGAUAGCCCUUAAUUGUUACUUUAUGCUGAAUAUGACACAGUAUAGAAGAUCUGAUCAUGAAGAAGUAACACCAUUGAUACACUUGCCAACUGCCAAAAUUACUUUCUGAUAGUAUGACGAGAUUAGAAGAUAUCAUGGUGUAGUCAUGACACAAACUGCAAAUCAAAGAAUUAAUUGUCUUCCCCAGAGGAUGAACAGAGCACGAUGGCUUCACAUGGAUAACAUUUCCUUUCGAGUUUUGAAAUUAAUUUGUCAGAAUGUUAUGCAUCGUUAUCAACAGAAAAGAACUUCAUAGGUAGACCAAAGCUGACAUGGGAUGAGAUCCUAGAACAAGACCUAGAGUUUACAGGAUUGGAUAGGAUCAAUCCACUGGGUCGCCAAGUGUGGAAGUACAAACUUCAACCUCGACAGGACAGCCAGGCCUCACCCUUGCAAAAAGAUUAAUUUGGCCUGGAUAGUCAAAAUGAGUGAUGAUGAUUGAUAUCAAGGUCUGACACUGGAAGCUCAGUAAGGGUAGAUGCUGGCAAUGGAGCUGUUUAGCAAUAAAACAAACAAGUUUAACAUUAAACAUAUUUGUAUACUUUUUUGGCUCACCUGAGCCAAAGGCUCAAGUGAGCUUUUCUGAUCACCUUUGCCUGUCAUCUGUCUGUUUAUAAACUUUUCACAUUUUCAUUUUCUUCUCCAGAGUGAACCACUGGGCCAGUUUCAAUCAAACUUGGUAUGCAUCAUCAAUAGAUAAAGGGUAUUCAAGUUUGUUCAUAUAAAGGGUCAUGCACCCUUCAAAAAGGAAAUAAUCAUGGAAAUGCAAAAAUAGGGUGGGGUCAUUUAAAAAACCUUUUCAAGAACCACUGGACCAGGAAAGUUGAAUUCACACGAAAGGUUCCUGUUUUGUGCAAAUCAUGGUCUCUGGGGGUAGGGUGGGGUCACAAUAGAGAAUCAAAGUUUUACAUUCAUAUAUAGUGCAUAUUCAAGUUUGUAAAAAGCUCACAGGGGUAGGGUGGGGGUCACAAUAGGGGAUUUAAGUUUUACAUGUGAAAUAUAUACAAGGAAAAUCUUUUAAAAUCUUCUCCUCAAAAACUAGAUGCAGAACCGUAGCUCUUUGAAAAGAGAGCUUCAGAUGAACCCCUUAUAAAAAAAACUUCAAUUUAUGGCAGAGAAAAAAAGUGCAUGUUUAAGUCCCUCUAUCACUGCAUUCCUGCAUCGCUGUCUCAUGAAUUUAAUAUUAAAUAAUUCCCAACAUAUUUUCCCACUAUACUUGUUUCCAAACAUACUUUCAAAUAUUUUCUAAACCCACAUAUAACCCCAAAACAGCUUCAAGUGAUUUCAAUUUCUUUGUUGAUGUAGCCAUGUUAAGUAGCCAGUCGAUUUGAACCCCAGUUCAUUUCCAUACUCAUACUCAUUUUGAAACAUAAUGUUUGUGUGAACUAAUAUCCUCACAAAUAUUUUUAGUGAAAUAUUUUGGAUGAAAUCAUCCCAGUUGGGUUAAAUACUUAUUAUUCAAAUACUGUAGGUUUGAAUAUUGAACUAAUCUCACAGCUUUCUUAAGUUUGGUCCCCAUCCCCACCAGUCUGUUUUUACGCUUAACUAUUGAAAUGGGGUGUAAGGGAUCAGACUAGGCUUUUAUAGCAUUAUCAAUUUUCAAAAGCUUUAGAAAAAUUAUACAAUUUUAGGUCACUUGAGUAAACUCAGAUGACAUAUUGCUAUUGAUCUGCAUCUAUUGUAGUCCGUCGACAUUAACAAUUGAACAUUUUUAACUAAAUUCUAUAACUGAAAGAUGAAGAUACCGCACAGCGAUCAAUCUACGAUUCAAAUAACGGAAUUCUUUUCAAAUUUAGUAUGAAGCACACAAAUUUACAUUAAACCUUCUUGACAUAGUGCAUAUUCAAGUUUGUUAAAAUCAUUUCCCUGGGAGUUAUGGUGUGGUAACAAUAGGGGGUCAAAGUUUUAUAUGCCAACUGAUAUAAAGGAAAAUUCUUUAAAGAUAUCUCUUGAACUAUUUAAGCUAGGGCUUUCAUAUCUUGUAUAUACAAUUUUUAUGGCAAAACAAAUCUGACCUAUUCAGUAUGUCCUGAACUACAUUGUGUUUAAGGUAGAUCUUUCAUAUAUAUUAUAUAUUAUGAAUUUCUUAUGAUAAAACCUUUCAUCUUGUUGAGGAGCCUCUCACCUCUGGUUGGCGCGGGUUUGAAUCCUGCUCGCACCGGUAAUUGAGAAAGUUUCCCAGUUUACUCUCGGAAGGUCGGUGGUCUCUUCCCAGGUACAUUGUAUCUGGGUUCUCUCUUCCACCAAUAAAAACUGGGCACCACCAGAUAACUGAAAAAUUGUUGAGUGUGGCGGAAAACAGUUAAAACAAUCAAUCAUAUUAUGUUAUUUGACCUUGUGACCCUGAACUCUGAGUUUGACAUACUUUUAAGAAAGUAUAACGUAUUAAGUAUAUCCAGGACUAUUUUAGAUAGGGCUUUUAUGUUUUGUAUAUUGAUUACUUAUGGCAAGGUCUUUCAUAUCAUACCAAGACCUACGACUUUUUACCUUGGUCUUAUCCAGAACAGCAAUAUCAUGCUAGUCAUAUCUUUGUCUUAUAUGAUUUCAUUUUAGUAAUGUUGUGUUCUUUAGAGCUAGGUUUGGGUCACAUUAUUCAUGAGAAUAAAGAUUGAUAAAAUAGCAUUUAAAAAUCAAAACAGCAGGGCCAAGAUGACUCAGGUGAGCGAUGUGGCCCAUGGGCCUCUUGUUGAUUUUGAUAUUUCUACCUAUAUCAUUUGUAUGAGAAAUGGAACUCCUUUUUUUCUUUUACAAAUACAUGUAUUAUCAUAUGGAUCCAUCUUUGUUGAUUAUUUAAUCAAAGGACAUAUUCAAUGUAUUAAAUGUAAAUUUAUGGAUAUGUCUGUGGUUGAAUUACUUAUGUAUGUAUGUAUACAUUUUUCUCGCACAUGCAAUUACAUAUAUGAUGUAUAUAUAUUUACUAAUUGUACAUGUAAUAUCCCCUGUUAUAUAAUAAAAUAUAUGACUGAGAAUAAAA